Molecule: long non-coding RNA, 1528 nt
Organism: Lytechinus pictus (painted urchin)
Lineage: Eukaryota; Metazoa; Echinodermata; Echinoidea; Temnopleuroida; Toxopneustidae
Exons: 2
Source: RefSeq, a predicted model, not a curated record
UCCAGAUCUUGGCAUUGGCUCGAUAUUCUUGCACGAAAUUUCUAAGAAAAUGUACUCCCUUGGAUGUCGAAAUAUUUUUGGUUAUUUUGAUGAGAAUGAAGUUGGACUAAAGCGUUGGUACGCCGCAGAGGGUUAUGAAAGCCUCACAGAGAAGCAUAAUUUUCAUCUUUAUUCGCAAUCAGGAGAGAAACUAAGAAGAUAUAUCCAUCGAGAUGGUCAUUAUGAUGAAUACCUUGAAAAGGCCUCAUCACGCGGUAUUCAUAUCCAAUCAACUAUAUCAAAGGAUGACGGUGGAAUUUAAAUAUUUUGCACUUGAGAUGUACAUCCUCUGAUAUGAAAUCAGAGCAAAUUUCGGCUGAGUCGAGUGGAUGAUGUCGGGAGGUGGUGUAUGGUGAUUUUGUAUGAUUUUCGUCUGGGGAGGGGGGGGGGGGGCAAGGCGUUCUUCUCACAUUGGCUGCUGUACAAUACCCCCCCCCCCUCCCACCCCAUCAACACCAAAUAGCCGCCCGUGUUGGUGUUACAUAAAAGAAAAUGAUGAAAUCAUGAUGAAAAAUAAGAGAGAUGUAUAUAUCCUUGAUUAUAAUUCUUAUACUGUGGACAAAAUUAUGCAAUCAUGACAGACUGGGGGGAGGCCGAGGUGGAUGACAUCUGAGAAUAUAUUGGUAUUUUAUGAAUGCAAAUAAAUCGAAAUAUAUAAUGUAAAAGAGCAUCCAAUUACUAAAAGUAGUGAAAAUAGUCCCAAUUUAAAAAGUGUGGGAAGGGGGGGGGGAUGUAGAUCAGAUUCUCUUUAUAUAUAUAUAUAUAUAUAUAUAUAUAUUGUAAAAAAAAGAAAGGUUCAUUUAAUGUUCAGCGUGGUUUUUGAACGGUGAAGAGCGUAUAAUAAUGUUUAAUCCAUGUAUACAGUUACAUUGAGGGAAAUUCAGUAAUCAUUUGUAAUCGACUACGCAGGGAUUUACUUUGAGAUAUAUAUAUAUAUAUAUUUUGCUGAGAAAUAACGAUAUUAAAAAUUUUAUGAUUAUCUUUAAUGUGUUCUUUUUUCACUUUUGGUACAAAAAAAACAUUAACCAUCACGGUCGCUAAAAACAUUUGUUUACGAUCUUAACUGUGUUUUAAAUAAUGUCAAACUAUAUUGAUCGACAAGCGGCACUGCAUCAUUGAUUGAGAUAUAUUUCUUGCAUAAUCUUGCGAUAAGAGUUACCACGGUUCGUCUUGUUUACGAAUAAGCCCAAAUACGCACGAGAUAUCCAUGCUAAGUAAUACUAAUAACCUACUUUUAAAUGUUGUCAAAACUUGCCAAAUUUGUUUAUAAAAAAACUUUCUGAAUUUAGAAAGUAGAUGUUAAAGGUAUAUUAAACCUGCAUGCAUGUUAAUAUUGUAAAUAAUGGUGUGUUAUAUUUUAAUGUUUUCUCUUAUGCCAUCUUUUUGUUCUCAUACAAUGUAUUAUACCUGUUAAACAUAUGUGUAUUUCUCAUACCCCAAAAGGGGUCGGCAGAAAUUUGCAAAUAAAGUUUGAAAUGUGUAAUUUGUA